GAUGAAGAACGUAGCGAAACGCGAUAUGUAAUGUGAAUUGCAGAAUUCAGUGAAUCAUCGAAUCUUUGAACGCACAUUGCGCCUGCCAGCACUCUGGCAGGCAUGCCUGUUCGAGCGUCAUUUCAACCAUCAAGCCCUAGGCUUGCGUUGGAGCCCUGCGGCUGCCGCAGGCCCCUAAAAGCAGUGGCGGGCUCGCUAUCACACCGAGUGCAGUAGAUUACUCUUCGCUCAGGGCGUGUGGCGGGUUCCAGCCGUGAAACCCCCUACUUCUCAAGGUUGACCUCGGAUCAGGUAGGAAUACCCGCUGAACUUAAGCAUAUCAAUAAGCGGAGGA
This 334-nucleotide unclassified non-coding RNA is filed under the name soil metagenome. RNAcentral's name for it is "partial contains 5.8S ribosomal RNA, internal transcribed spacer 2, and large subunit ribosomal RNA". The stretch from base 1 to 120 matches the Rfam family "5.8S ribosomal RNA", at positions 35 to 154 of the family's 154-position model. The record is from RNAcentral.